This 138-nucleotide microRNA precursor is filed under the name Marmota monax (woodchuck). The record is from RNAcentral. Lineage: Eukaryota; Metazoa; Chordata; Mammalia; Rodentia; Sciuridae.
GGAAGGAAGGAAGGAAGGGAGGGAGGAAGGGAGGGGAUGGGACUUGACAAAGUACUUCUUGAAAUCUUACAGAAAAUAUGUAUUACCACCACCACCACCACUCCUCCCUCUCCCCCCGCCCUUUUUUUUUUUUUUUUG